AUGAUUCCGGCGGCCGCGCACAUGGUGUCACUACUGCUGCUGCUGGUGGCCGUACGAGGCACAGGGCCGCCGGCGAGCUGCCCGACCAGCUGUGGCGGCGUGAGCGUGCCAUACCCGUUCGGCGUCGGCGACGGCUGCUACUGGCCGGGAUUCAACCUCACCUGUCACUGGGCGCGAGGCCGAGAGCGGUUGCUCAUCGGCGGCGCGCGGUACCCUCGAGGUUGUGGAGAUCUCGCUGGCCAACUCCACGGUACGCGUCAUGGACACCGCGGGCGCCGUGAACAUCACCUUACAUAGUGUGGCAGGCGGCCACGGUACGUGGGGCAGCCUGGGCGCCGGCGCCAGCGGCGGCCCCUACGUGGUGUCGGAGAGGCACAGCGUGCUCGUCGUCACGGGGUGCAACGUGCAGGCCACGCUGGUGGGCGACCUGGUCGGCAACGUCAUCACCGGCUGCUCCUCAUUCUGCUCCAUCUACGACACGUGGAGCAGCGCCGUCACGAAGUACGACGGCGAAGCGUGCUCCGGCAUCGGCUGCUGCGAGACUCCCAUCCCCAUCGGCUGGCCCUCCUACGGCGUUCGGUUCACGUGGCAGGACCCGAACCACGAGUCCGACAGCAAGCUGCCCGUCGCGGUGCGCGUCGCAGAGCGAGGAUGGCUCGACAGCGCAUCCACCAUGCUCCUCAACUACUCCUCCGGCGAUUCGUCGUGCCGGAUGCCGAUCCCCGUCGUUCUCGGGUUUGCGCUGGAUUCGAAGCCGGUGGUGCUUCAGGGAGUGGCGACGUCUGGCUGUCCUAAGGAUGUUUCUCGUAGCGCAUGCCGCAGCAGCCUCGGGUCCUGCCGCAACGUCACCGGCCACUAUCGCAGCGGAUACGUGUGCCACUGCCAUGACGGGUAUCAGGGCAACCCUUACAUUGUGGGUGGAUGCCAAGACAUCGACGGGUGCGCGCUGCCGGUCUCGUGCUACGGCGAGUGCACCAACACUGACGGAGGGUACCUCUGCCGGUGCCCGAGCGGCGCCCGUGGCGACCCCCGGAUCAAAGAUGGCUGCGUCAAAUCUUCCCUAGGUUUAAGCGUUGGCAUAGGAAUUAGCAGUGGCGCUGGCUUUCUACUCAUGGUACUUGCUACAAUUUUUGUGGCCCAGAAGCUGAAGCAUAGGAGGGCAAAAUUGUUGAGGCCGAAAUUCUUUAGGAAAAACAGGGGAUACCUUCUACAGCAAUUGGUGUCACAAAAGGCGGACAUCUCGGAGAGGAUGAUCGUCCCCUUGAUGGAGAUGGAAAAGGCCACAAACAAUUUCGACAAAGCUCGCGAGAUUGGCGGAGGAGCGCACGGCAUCGUGUACAAAGGAAUCAUGUCAGACUUGCACGUGGUGGCGAUCAAGAAGUCCAAAGUCACGGUCCAGAGAGAGAUCGAUGAGUUCGUCAACGAGGUAGCCAUCCUCUCACAGAUCAACCAUCGAAACAUCGUGAAGCUCUUCGGGUGCUGCCUCGAGAUGGAGGUACCGUUGCUGGUGUAUGAAUUCAUUUCAAAUGGGACUCUUCACCAUCAUCUUCACGUGGAACACACCGAAACAUUGUUGGCAUGGGUGGAUCGAUUGAGGAUAGCCACAGAGACCGCGAGAGCUCUUGCAUACCUUCACUCAGCCGUGUCAAUCCCUGUAGUCCACAGGGAUAUCAAAUCUCAGAACAUUCUAUUAGAUGGCACUCUCGUAGCAAAGGUGUCCGAUUUUGGAGCUUCAAGGUGCAUGCCAGUCGGUCAAACAGGGGAUGCAACUGUCAUCCAAGGGACAUUUGGGUACCUAUACCCCAUGUACUACUACUCGGGAAAGCUCACCGAGAAGAGUGACGUUUAUAGCUUUGGGGUUCUCCUCAUGGACCUGCUAACCAGGGAGAAACCAUGCUCAUAUCGAUCGUUCGAGGAAAAAAGCCUAGCCAUAUAUUUCACCACUUUGCUCACAACAAGCAACCUAGUCUGUGUGUUAGAUCCUCAAGUUGUGGUGGAAGGGGGCAAGGAUAUUGAAGCGAUAGCUAUGUUGGCCGCGGCAUGUGUGAGGAUGGAAGGAGACCACCGGCCGACCAUGAGGAAAGUGGAGAUGACACUCGAGAGCCUUCAACUACACCAUGAAAAUGCCGUAAUAUGUGAUAUGGAUGCACCAAGCUAUGCAGUAGUGACUGAGGGUACAAGCAUGGAGAAGGUGAGCAGACAAUAUAGUUUGGAAGAAGAGUAUUUGUUGUCAUCAAGAUACCCUAGAUAG
Molecule: ribosomal RNA, 2251 nt
Filed under: Triticum aestivum (bread wheat)
Lineage: Eukaryota; Viridiplantae; Streptophyta; Magnoliopsida; Poales; Poaceae
Description: partial small subunit ribosomal RNA
Source: RNAcentral